This is a long non-coding RNA of Macadamia integrifolia, 607 nucleotides long. RefSeq lists it as uncharacterized. The transcript is spliced from 3 exons. NCBI's taxonomy places the organism in Eukaryota, Viridiplantae, Streptophyta, Magnoliopsida, Proteales, Proteaceae. The record is from RefSeq and is a predicted model, not a curated record.
GACAGAAACAAAAUAGAAGAAGAGUAGAAGGAAAGGAUAAAUAGAAAGAAGAAGGAAGGGAAGGAGAAAGAAGAAGAAGAGAAGUGCAGCAACUUCUCCUUGCUGCUGCAUGUGGCUGCUACCGCUGCUGUUCCUGCAGCCAUGGCUGCUGCUAUUGAUGCAUGCAAGCAUCUUUUGAACUCCACAUCAAGUAGAUGCUGCCAUGGUCUUGAUUCAACUGAAGAUUGGAGUGAAGGACUGCUGAUCGACUGCAUGCAUGUCUCAAGAAGCACAAGAAAGUUAGAAUCUGAACUCCACUUUGUGAAUUGGGCUAGGUGAGAAUCGGUUAAGGAAUCCAGUAACCACUUCUGUUGAGGAUACGCGAGGCUAGGACAUUGGUGAAGAGUUUCAGACAUGAAAAUCCAGGUUUUGAAGUUGAAGCAGAGAAGAUCGGGUGAUUUUUUGAAGAUGAAGUAAUGGACAGAGAGUGAUUAUAGACAAGGACUUUUGAUUACCUUGUGUUUUAUAAUGUAAAUUAAGCAUAAGUUGUAUCAUGUAUUUUUUUGUAACCGGUGGAUGGAAUAAAUGGCCUAUAGUAUUAUAAUAGUAUCAUUGUAGCCAAUCACCA